AAAAAUUACAUGUGAAUGUGAACACAACACGUACUGAUCAAUGAAGGUAAAACAAAGUCUCUGGAUCCUUUCCACGAUUUUGGUAGGACUGUAUAUUAGAACCUGUAUAUCGGAAUCACAUGAACACACUAAUAUUGUUUUUAAGUAUGAGCCGGAUUCGCAAAUGUUUGGAGUGAUUCUUGAUAUACUUCAUGGCACCAAAAAUUGUUAUGCCUACAACAUGACGAUAGCAGAGCACUCAGUUAUACACAUGCCCGACGGUUUAGCAUCAAUUGAGGCGAAGGUGUUAAAUUUGAUAGCAACCAGUACCAAUCUACCAAAUGUAACUCACGCAGAAAUAAGCUCACGGUUUAGCAGAAAUUUUGCGCAUUUCUGUAAAAAUCAUGUAUUAUAUCUUUUAAACUGAUUUUUAGAACUAUAAUAUAGACAAAACGUAUGAAUUA
Long non-coding RNA from Mytilus californianus (California mussel), 443 nucleotides. RefSeq lists it as uncharacterized. The transcript is spliced from 4 exons. Lineage: Eukaryota; Metazoa; Mollusca; Bivalvia; Mytilida; Mytilidae. The record is from RefSeq and is a predicted model, not a curated record.